CCUACGGGGGGCAGCAGUGAGGAAUAUUGGUCAAUGGACGAGAGUCUGAACCAGCCAAGUAGCGUGAAGGAUGACUGCCCUAUGGGUUGUAAACUUCUUUUAUAUGGGAAUAAAAUGUUCCACGUGUGGGAUUUUGUAUGUACCAUAUGAAUAAGGAUCGGCUAACUCCGUGCCAGCAGCCGCGGUAAUACGGAGGAUCCGAGCGUUAUCCGGAUUUAUUGGGUUUAAAGGGAGCGUAGGUGGAUUGUUAAGUCAGUUGUGAAAGUUUGCGGCUCAACCGUAAAAUUGCAGUUGAAACUGGCAGUCUUGAGUACAGUAGAGGUGGGCGGAAUUCGUGGUGUAGCGGUGAAAUGCUUAGAUAUCACGAAGAACUUCGAUUGCGAAGGCAGUUCACUGGACUGCAACUGACACUGAGGCUCGAAAGUGUGGGUAUCAAACAGGAUUAGAUACCCGUGUAGUC
Molecule: ribosomal RNA, 460 nt
Filed under: uncultured bacterium
Lineage: Bacteria
Description: partial 16S ribosomal RNA
Rfam family: Bacterial small subunit ribosomal RNA
Source: RNAcentral